This 29-nucleotide non-coding RNA is filed under the name Homo sapiens (human). Lineage: Eukaryota; Metazoa; Chordata; Mammalia; Primates; Hominidae. The record is from RNAcentral.
UCCAACAGAAACNGAUGUGCUCAAGCUGA